RNAcentral lists this unclassified non-coding RNA (2099 nucleotides) under Leishmania donovani. Its description in RNAcentral is "gene:unknown". The record is from RNAcentral. Lineage: Eukaryota; Euglenozoa; Kinetoplastea; Trypanosomatida; Trypanosomatidae.
GCAUCGAGGGCAAAGAGAAAGUGCGGUGCAUGGGCGCCCUCUUCCCCUCCCGCAAAAAAAAAACGGCCGUUGACGUGUUCCAACCACAGUAUUCUUGUAUAUAAGGCUUUCCUCCACUGCCGCCGCGUCUCCUCCUCGCUGUUGUGCGCUCGCGUGCCCGUUUUACAGGGCACGCCCCUGCGUGCUCGAUAGCAGUUUCGGCUGCGGUGCAUCACUUUCGCCUAUUCUCGUGUCCGCCCUUUGCGUUCAUAUGCGUUGCCUUGGUGCCUGUUGGGUGCCCUCUUCUGGGUCUGUUGUCGUGUGGGGCCCUCUCUGCCUCGUGCUGCCAGCCACCUCAGUGCAUGAUACCACAGGGUCUGGUACGCACACGCCGUGUGUGGGGGGAAGGGGGGGCCAAAGAGCCUGCAGCCUGCCGUCGGGUACGGCCGCGGCCUCGUGGUGUCGGCCGGACAGGUCUGGGCCGGCGCUUCACCGGGGAGACGCAGGUCACGAUCGCGUUUGUGCCCUCCCGCGACGGACCGUGUCAGCGAUUCGACACACGUGGGGCGAUGCGGUCCAUAGUCACCAGCCCCACAGUGCGUGCUUGCAAAGCAUGCGGCAUCUACGCCCGGCCGGGCGGACUGGUGAGGCGCAGACGCCGGAAGCGUGAGGGGAGCACCCCGAACCUGCACCAGCGAGCCGCUCAGACGCCCAUGCGCAUACACAUCACGCCACGGCAUACCGCGGCCUGAAGCGACUGAGAGCGAAGCGUGGCAUGCAAGCAGAGCGCGGAGUCUCGGAGGGCCCUGGCCUGCGGCUCGCCAACUGCCUCCCUGAGCUCGUGCGGCACGCGCCUGGGCCACACCCUGCUGCCCGCGCGACAGACGUCACCGCCUCCGCACCGGAGCAGGGCUCUGGGCGCUGCUCGCCUGGAUCAGGGCGUGCAGUCCACCCAGGUCCGCGUGGUGCCGGUGGGACGGUACACAUGGGAAGAGGGAACGGGGGAAGGACAGGACGGGCUCGUCCUAGGCGGCCAGAAUGUAGCCGUGGCGCAACAGAAGUAGAUGAGUGGUGGGGCUGUGUUGUGUGUGUGUGCGUGUGUAUACGUGUUUGGCUGGUUCGUGUGGGUGCGGCGAGGCGUUCGAGCAAAACGUCCUCACGGCUCGCAGACGUGCUGUGCAGUAUGCAUUCGUCUCGCCUCUCGCAUCGCUCGCGGGCACGUCGAGGUGGGCCGCUCGCUCGCUCCCCCCCCCCCUUUGCAUGCCUGUCGGGGUUUCGUUGGCUUAUGGUUGUGGUUUCAGUAAGAGAUGGGGAAGCGGCGGGGCGCACGUGCGAAGCGAUGCCGUUGGGCGGCGGUGAAGCGCACGUUUGAACAGAAGCACGAACCAGCGCGAAUUGGUGUCCCUUCUCUCUAUAUAGGCAUGUAUAUUGUGGGGAGUGGAGGGGCUCAGGCGAUGGAACUCACUGCUCUGCACGCCGGUAUGUCUGCGUCAGGGAAUCGGGUGGGUCGGUGGGGCACAGCGCUUACUUCUGUUUCUGUCGGCUUUGUCUUCGGAUGUGCGCGAACCAAGCACAUCGAUGGCGGUAUGUAUGGCUCAAGUGGGGCAGUGCACGGCUGUCUUGGGCGUGCGCUCGGGUGUCUGUACCUCUCUAUCUUUUCGUUGCCUUUUCUGCUGCUGCAACGAGGAUCACCAAACUACAAUAUCCACCCUGCUGAUCCCUGGUCCGCGCUCGGUCGCAUGCCUUUCCCGGUCGGAGAGCGUCGUGCAGGUGAGGAUGUGCUCCUCAUUCUCCACCACGGAGGGCCCUCUCUUCGUUGAGCACAGGAGACCAAGAGGAGUGGACCUUCACGCACACUGUAUAGUGCGUGCUGAUCUUCUUCCUGCAUUUGUGAAGGCAUCAGUGCAUUCCUGCCGCCCAUCCGUGAUUUUCGCUUGCCUCCACCCUCCCUCUACUCGUCACUUACCUCAUUAUGUCUCUCUUGUCGUCUCCUCAACAUCGCACCUCCCUGUGUGUGUGGUGUGACGUGUAACCACGUCAAAUCGGUGAUGGCGGUGGCGGCGGAUGCGCCACUCACACGCGUGCUCAUCCAUCGUCUGCUCUCCUGGCACCCUCUACAG